RNAcentral lists this ribosomal RNA (350 nucleotides) under uncultured bacterium. RNAcentral describes it as "bacterial SSU rRNA". It matches the Rfam family "Bacterial small subunit ribosomal RNA", at positions 355 to 697 of the family's 1533-position model. The record is from RNAcentral.
UGGGGAAUAUUGCACAAUGGGCGAAAGCCUGAUGCAGCCAUGCCGCGUGUGUGAAGAAGGCUCUAGGGUUGUAAAGCACUUUCAGCAAGGAGGAAAGGUUGUAAGUUAAUACCUUGCAACUGUGACGUUACUUGCAGAAGAAGCACCGGCUAACUCCGUGCCAGCAGCCGCGGUAAUACGGAGGGUGCAAGCGUUAAUCGGAAUUACUGGGCGUAAAGCGCGCGUAGGCGGUCUGUUAAGCUGGAUGUGAAAGCCCAGGGCUCAACCUUGGAACUGCAUUCAGAACUGGCAGACUAGAGUAUUGGAGAGGUAAGUGGAAUUUCCCGUGUAGCAGUGAAAUGCGUAGAUAU